GGGGCUGGCUCAGUGGUAGAGCACUCACCUCACACGCGAGAGACCCUGGGUUCAAUCCUCAGCAUCA
This 67-nucleotide transfer RNA is filed under the name Marmota monax (woodchuck). Its description in RNAcentral is "tRNA.Val". The stretch from base 6 to 62 matches the Rfam family "tRNA", at positions 8 to 63 of the family's 71-position model. From Rfam's summary of the family: Transfer RNA (tRNA) molecules are approximately 80 nucleotides in length. Their secondary structure includes four short double-helical elements and three loops (D, anti-codon, and T loops). The record is from RNAcentral. Lineage: Eukaryota; Metazoa; Chordata; Mammalia; Rodentia; Sciuridae.